This 380-nucleotide ribosomal RNA is filed under the name uncultured eukaryote. Its description in RNAcentral is "partial 18S ribosomal RNA". It matches the Rfam family "Eukaryotic small subunit ribosomal RNA", at positions 592 to 976 of the family's 1831-position model. The record is from RNAcentral.
CAAUAGCGUAUAUUAAAGUUGUUGCGGUUAAAAAGCUCGUAGUUGGAGUUCUGCCAGGUGCCGCCUGUCCGCCCCAGUGGUGAGUACGUGGCGCGCAUUUGGCCCUUUCAAGGGGAGCGUAUCUGCACUUUAUUGUGUGGUGCGGGAUCCUUGACUUUUACUUUGAGGAAAUAGGAGUGUUCCAAGCAGGCUCUCGUCGUGCACAGCUCAGCAUGGAAUAAUAGCAUUGGACCUCGAUUCUAAGCUGUUGGUUGCCAGAAGCGAGGUAAUGAUGAAGAGGGAUAGUUGGGGGCAUCUGUAUCAACGCGUCAGAGGUGGAAUUCUUGGAUUGCGUUGCGACAAACUACUGCGAAAGCAUUUGCCAAGGAUGUUUUCAUUGA